RNAcentral lists this ribosomal RNA (322 nucleotides) under Cyphophthalmus hlavaci. RNAcentral describes it as "partial 16S ribosomal RNA". The record is from RNAcentral. Lineage: Eukaryota; Metazoa; Arthropoda; Arachnida; Opiliones; Sironidae.
UCUUAAUUGGAGGAUCGUAUGAAAGGUAAGACGAAUGAGGUUAAAUUUUUAAUCUAAAGUUUUAAUUUAGCUGAUCAGUUAAAAUUCUGAUCUUUAAUUUAGGGACAAGAAGACCCUAUAAAGUUUGACUUUUUAGUCUUGUUUAUAAGAUAAAGAAGUUUUGUUGGGGCAAUACUGUAAGAGGGAAUCUUACUGAUGUAAAUUCUUGCUAAAGUUUCUCUGAGCUGUUAUUAACACGAAUAGAAUCAAUUACUUUAGGGAUAACAGCAUAAUUAAGGCUUUUAAGUACAAAUUUACAGUCUUGAUUAUGACCUCGAUGUUG